This 434-nucleotide long non-coding RNA is filed under the name Elaeis guineensis (African oil palm). RNAcentral describes it as "long non-coding RNA (EGUI_LNC004073)". The record is from RNAcentral. Lineage: Eukaryota; Viridiplantae; Streptophyta; Magnoliopsida; Arecales; Arecaceae.
UUUUUCCUCCUCCUCCUCCUCCUCUCUCUCUCUCUCUCUCCUCCCCGCAUCUUCCCUUCCGUCGCUUGCGGUCCCUCGGCUAAAAUAAAUUAUUUCAUGUAUAUGCAAACCAUGGUCCGGCGGACCACCGCAACACGGUCCCUUGCACCGCACUAGUCAACGAUUCCGUAGAUAGAAUAAUUAGGCCAGUUCUUCGCUUGGUCCGUGUCACUAUCUGAUAAGACCUACCCACAGAAACAGAGGAAACAGAGCGGAGUGUUUUACCUAAUUAAUUUUUUAAAAAAUUAUUUAUAAAAAUAAUUUAAUUUUUAAUUUAUUUAUUAAAAUAAUAUAAAUAACAUAAAAUAUCAUUCAAAAUGACAUUUUAUGAUGACUAAAUAAUCAUUUAUUUUUUAUAUGAAUGAAAAAAAAAAUUAAAAUCAUAAAAUUGAGUG